CAUUUCCGGGGCCGGGCUACGUUCUUCUGCUCCGCGGUAGCCUUAGAGGCCGUGUCGGCCCGCGGAAGAGGCUGCGCGGGGACGGUGGCCAGGGCAGGGCGGCCGCGGGCUCCCGGGAGCGCCCCGUUCGCAGCCCGCCCCAGGACAGCUGGGCCCGGCCGCUGCCGGCGUGCUCCGCCCCUCCCCUGCCCGGCUCCAGCGCGGCCCCGGGGGCGCCAGGAUCUCCGCUCGCUCAGGGGAGGGGCGCCGAUCGGCUCCAACGAGGUCAUUGGCUCCAGGGCCCCAGUCGCUUCCUUCUCUGACCCCCGCCCCUCUGUCUCCGGUAAGGCGCUGCCUGCCCCCGGGGCCACCCCCAGGCGGGGCACGUAGUGUAGACGGUCGUGCCUGAGCCAGGCCUGGGCUGUGCGAAGAGCGUGCAAGGAGAGGGGCCGGAGACAGCCGCCGAGGAGCCAGUCAGGAAAGGGCUAGGGCAGAUCUCCGUGGGGAGGAAAGGAGAGGCCCAGGGAGAACCAGAAGCAGCAGCGGAGAGCAGGUCCGGAGCAUCAUGGGGAACCGCAAACGGCUGAUGGUGAGGACUGGCCAGAGCUGGGGAACGACCUGCUGAGUCAGAGCUCAUGCGGGGUCUGCUAGGAAUAACCAGCCUGGUAAGGAGAAGCCAACUGAUCACAAGUCCACGCCCACACUGGGGUAGACAGGAGUAUUGAAUCACCUGUGCCACCACAGCUAUGGACCACCCAUAGAAAUGUGGACAUCUACGAGCAGACUGGAUGGGGGAUGCAGGCAAAGGAGUAUAGCAGGGAUCAGCAGCAGUCCUGCAUGAAGGCAAAGGAACUUCACCAGGAACACCACAAGGCCAGGCUUUUAGUGUGGAGCCUGACUCCAAGGAGGAGGAGAAGGAAGAACAUGCCCUCCAUAGUGCUCUGCGAGAUCCUACAGGCGAGUGCUGCAGCAGCCUGUGAACAAGGGCUUGGCGGGCCAAUAUGACCAAGAGCCUAGA
Chrysemys picta bellii (western painted turtle) is the source of this 997-nucleotide long non-coding RNA. RefSeq lists it as uncharacterized. NCBI's taxonomy places the organism in Eukaryota, Metazoa, Chordata, Testudines, Emydidae. The record is from RefSeq and is a predicted model, not a curated record.